CUGAACCAGCCAAGUAGCGUGAAGGAUGACUGCCCUAUGGGUUGUAAACUUCUUUUAUACGGGAAUAAAGUGGAGUAUGCAUACUCCUUUGUAUGUACCGUAUGAAUAAGGAUCGGCUAACUCCGUGCCAGCAGCCGCGGUAAUACGGAGGAUCCGAGCGUUAUCCGGAUUUAUUGGGUUUAAAGGGAGCGUAGGCGGGUGCUUAAGUCAGUUGUGAAAGUUUGCGG
Molecule: ribosomal RNA, 227 nt
Filed under: uncultured Bacteroides sp.
Lineage: Bacteria; Pseudomonadati; Bacteroidota; Bacteroidia; Bacteroidales; Bacteroidaceae
Description: partial 16S ribosomal RNA
Rfam family: Bacterial small subunit ribosomal RNA
Source: RNAcentral